This 316-nucleotide long non-coding RNA is filed under the name Phoenix dactylifera (date palm). Its description in RNAcentral is "long non-coding RNA (PDAC_LNC022356)". Lineage: Eukaryota; Viridiplantae; Streptophyta; Magnoliopsida; Arecales; Arecaceae. The record is from RNAcentral.
CUUUCAAUUAUUAAAGCCUUAUUUACCACAGUUGCAUAGGUAGUCAAUUCAUAAGGUACCACUUGUUUUCUAAUUUCAGUCUUUAGUCCCAUCUCAAAUUUAUGCGUUCAAUCUAGUUCAUCUUCGACUAACUUUGGAACAAAUUUAGCUAGCUCGGUAAAUUUAGCUUCAUAUUCUGCAACAGUCAUAUUUCUUUGCUUUAGAUGAAUAAACUCCUGCUCUUUCUGUGUCCUUACACUCCGAGGAAAAUACUUAUCAUAAAAUGCUCCUCGAAAUUUUUUCCAAGUGAGUGGCUCCCUAUCCUGCUCAUAUUUAU